RNAcentral lists this ribosomal RNA (465 nucleotides) under uncultured bacterium. RNAcentral's name for it is "bacterial SSU rRNA". It matches the Rfam family "Bacterial small subunit ribosomal RNA", at positions 338 to 795 of the family's 1533-position model. The record is from RNAcentral.
CCUACGGGUUGCAGCAGUGGGGAAUAUUGGACAAUGGGCGAAAGCCUGAUCCAGCAAUGCCGCGUGUGUGAAGAAGGUCUUCGGAUUGUAAAGCACUUUUAUCAGGAACGACAUACCACGGGUUAAUACCCUAUGGGGCUGACGGUACCUGAGGAAUAAGCACCGGCUAACUUCGUGCCAGCAGCCGCGGUAAUACGAAGGGUGCAAGCGUUAAUCGGAAUUACUGGGCGUAAAGCGUGCGUAGGCGGUUUGUUAAGUCUGCUGUGAAAGCCCUGGGCUCAACCUGGGAAUGGCAGUGGAAACUGGCGAGCUAGAGUGUGAUAGAGGAUGGUGGAAUUCCCGGUGUAGCGGUGAAAUGCGUAGAGAUCGGGAGGAACAUCAGAGGCGAAGGCGGCAACCUGGCUCGAUACUGACGCUGAGGCGCGAAAGCGUGGGGAGCAAACAGGAUUAGAUACCCCUGUAGUC